Molecule: non-coding RNA, 73 nt
Filed under: Philodina roseola
Lineage: Eukaryota; Metazoa; Rotifera; Eurotatoria; Philodinida; Philodinidae
Source: RNAcentral
AUCAUCUUAGAAUUCUUUGCCAACUGAUGAUUGCCUUAAGCAAGCAUGAAACCGGUCUUGGUAGCUUGUCUCA